GACGAACGCUGGCGGCGUGCUUAACACAUGCAAGUCGAACGGAAAGGCCCUGCUUUCGUGGUGUUCUCGAGUGGCGAACGGGUGAGUAACACGUGAGUAACCUGCUCUUGACUUUGGGAUAACUUCAGGAAACUGGAGCUAAUACCGGAUAGGAGCCCCUGCUGCGUGGUGGGGGUUGGAAAGUUUCGGCGGGUGGGGAUGGACUCGCGGCUUAUCAGCUUGUUGGUGGGGUGGUGGCUUACCAAGGCUUUGACGGGUAGCCGGCCUGAGAGGGUGACCGGCCACAUUGGGACUGCGAUACGGCCCAGACUCCUACGGGAGGCAGCAGUGGGGAAUAUUGCACAAUGGGCGGACGCCUGAUGCAGCGACGCCGCGUGCGGGAUGACGGCCUUCGGGUUGUAAACCGCUUUCGCCUGUGACGAAGCGUGAGUGACGGUAAUGGGUAAAGAAGCACCGGCUAACUACGUG
This 468-nucleotide ribosomal RNA is filed under the name uncultured bacterium. Its description in RNAcentral is "partial 16S ribosomal RNA". It matches the Rfam family "Bacterial small subunit ribosomal RNA", at positions 28 to 507 of the family's 1533-position model. The record is from RNAcentral.